Molecule: ribosomal RNA, 466 nt
Filed under: uncultured bacterium
Lineage: Bacteria
Description: partial 16S ribosomal RNA
Rfam family: Bacterial small subunit ribosomal RNA
Source: RNAcentral
GACGAACGCUGGCGGCGCGCCUAACACAUGCAAGUCGAACGAGCGAGAGAGAGCUUGCUUUCUCGAGCGAGUGGCGAACGGGUGAGUAACGCGUGAGGAACCUGCCUCAAAGAGGGGGACAACAGUUGGAAACGACUGCUAAUACCGCAUAAGCCCACGGCUCGGCAUCGAGCAGGGGGAAAAGGAGCAAUCCGCUUUGAGAUGGCCUCGCGUCCGAUUAGCUAGUUGGUGAGGUAACGGCCCACCAAGGCGACGAUCGGUAGCCGGACUGAGAGGUUGAAACGCCACAAUGGGACUUAGACACGGCCCCGAAUCCCACGGGAGGGAGGAGGGGGGGAUAAUGGAAAAUGGGGGAAACCCUGAUGGCGCGGCGGCGCGUGGAGGAAGGAGGGUUUCGGAUUGGAAACUCCCUGUGUUUGGGAAGAUAAUGACGGUACCCAACAAAGAAGGUACGGCUAACUACGUG